Molecule: long non-coding RNA, 262 nt
Filed under: Mytilus galloprovincialis (Mediterranean mussel)
Lineage: Eukaryota; Metazoa; Mollusca; Bivalvia; Mytilida; Mytilidae
Source: RNAcentral
UUAAAACUUCAGUGUGUACAUUGUAGUAAGAUAUAACAUACUCGCUACGAAAAAGGGGAAACCUUGAACAACAACCCCCUUCUCUCGUAUUUAAAUUAAAGCUUGUACAAAUACAUUUAAUUUAUUCCGGCAAUGACCGAAUUUUGUAUUUGCAACUGACAAGGAUGUUCACAUUAAUAGGCUGCGUAAACAACAAGCUACACCAAUUAUUCAAUACGCCCCUCGUCCUGAACAUGCAUUAAAUAUUUGCCACUGGACGUUA